GACGAACGCUGGCGGCGUGCCUAAUACAUGCAAGUCGAGCGCAGGAAAUCAUCCGAACCCUUCGGGGGGACGUUGAUGGAAUGAGCGGCGGACGGGUGAGUAACACGUAAAGAACCUGCCCUCAGGUCUGGGAUAACCACGAGAAAUCGGGGCUAAUACCGGAUGGGUCAUCGGACCGCAUGGUCCGAGGAUUAAAGGCGCUUCGGCGGCGCCUGGGGAUGGCUUUGCGGUGCAUUAGCUAGUUGGUGGGGUAAUGGCCCACCAAGGCGACGAUGCAUAGCCGACCUGAGAGGGUGAUCGGCCACACUGGGACUGAGACACGGCCCAGACUCCUACGGGAGGCAGCAGUAGGGAAUCUUCCACAAUGGACGAAAGUCUGAUGGAGCAACGCCGCGUGAACGAUGAAGGCCUUCGGGUCGUAAAGUUCUGUUGUAAGGGAAGAACAAGUGCCGCAGGCAAUGGCGGCACCUUGACGGUACCUUGCGAGAAAGCCACGGCUAACUACGUGCCAGCCGCCGCCGUAA
RNAcentral lists this ribosomal RNA (524 nucleotides) under uncultured bacterium. RNAcentral describes it as "partial 16S ribosomal RNA". It matches the Rfam family "Bacterial small subunit ribosomal RNA", at positions 28 to 523 of the family's 1533-position model. The record is from RNAcentral.